AGUAACACGUGGAUACCCUACCUAUAAGACUGGGAUAAUUUCGGGAAACCGGAGCUAAUACCGGAUAAUAUUUUGAACCGCAUGGUUCAAAAGUGAAAGACGGUCUUGCUGUCACUUAUAGAUGGAUCCGCGCUGCAUUAGCUAGUUGGUAAGGUAACGGCUUACCAAGGCAACGAUGCAUAGCCGACCUGAGAGGGUGAUCGGCCACACUGGAACUGAGACACGGUCCAGACUCCUACGGGAGGCAGCAGUAGGGAAUCUUCCGCAAUGGGCGAAAGCCUGACGGAGCAACGCCGCGUGAGUGAUGAAGGUCUUCGGAUCGUAAAACUCUGUUAUUAGGGAAGAACAUAUGUGUAAGUAACUGUGCACAUCUUGACGGUACCUAAUCAGAAAGCCACGGCUAACUACGUGCCAGCAGCCGCGGUAAUACGUAGGUGGCAAGCGUUAUCCGGAAUUAUUGGGCGUAAAGCGCGCGUAGGCGGUUUUUUAAGUCUGAUGUGAAAGCCCACGGCUCAACCGUGGAGGGUCAUUGGAAACUGGAAAACUUGAGUGCAGAAGAGGAAAGUGGAAUUCCAUGUGUAGCGGUGAAAUGCGCAGAGAUAUGGAGGAACACCGGUGGCGAAAGCGGCUCUCUGGUCUGUAACUGACGCUGAGGCUCGAAAGCGUGGGGAGCAAACAGGAUUAGAUACCCUGGUAGUCCACGCCGUAAACGAUGAGUGCUAGGUGUUGGGUCCUUUCCGGGACUCAGUGCCGCAGCUAACGCAUUAAGCACUCCGCCUGGGGAGUACGACCGCAAGGUGAAACUCAAAGGAAUUGACGGU
Molecule: ribosomal RNA, 821 nt
Filed under: uncultured bacterium
Lineage: Bacteria
Description: bacterial SSU rRNA
Rfam family: Bacterial small subunit ribosomal RNA
Source: RNAcentral